RNAcentral lists this ribosomal RNA (3201 nucleotides) under Triticum aestivum (bread wheat). RNAcentral describes it as "partial small subunit ribosomal RNA". The record is from RNAcentral. Lineage: Eukaryota; Viridiplantae; Streptophyta; Magnoliopsida; Poales; Poaceae.
AUGGCCGCCUCCAGCGACCUCCUCGACGUCGACCCGCCCGAGCUCCAGUUCCCCUUCGAGCUCGACAAGCAGAUCUCCUGCCCCCUCAAGAUGAUCAAUAAGACCGACAGAACCGUCGCCUUCAAGGUUAAGACGACGAGCCCCAAGAAGUACUGCGUGCGCCCCAACAAUGGCGUCGUGCGGCCGCGGUCCACCUGCGAAGUUGUAGUGACGAUGCAAGCCCAGAUUGUUGCACCACCAGACUUGCAGUGCAAGGACAAAUUCUUGGUGCAAAGCGUGGUCGUCGCCGAUCGCUUAUCGGCCAAGGACAUCACCGCUCAAAUGUUCACGAAACAAGGGGGUAACGCUGUUAGGGAGGUGAGGAUGAGGGUCACUUAUGUGAUGCCAACCGAAUCGUCGUUAGAGAUUGCGGAGGAAAGCGAUGGGCCACAGCGUAUCUUGGUGCCUAUGCAGCGAAUUGUGGAUCAUGGGAGGAGCGCUUCGGGGCUGUCGAGUGGCUCGGUAUCCUUGAGAUCAGCUGAGCUGGGGACAGAGGUGGGAUCACCUACUGGACCAGUUGUAAGGACUGAAGAAUUACUGAAGGCUGCAGGACAUGCUGCUGAAACAAGAACAUAUGCAGGGCCUGAUGCACAGUCCCUUGAGCUGUCGGCUUUAAUUACAAAAUUAACCAAGGAAAAGGAUUCUGCCCUUGAGCAAAAUAAAAAGCUUCGCAGUGAGUUGAUUCGAAAUUCUAGGCCCAACAGCCCAACUGACCGUCAUGGGGUUCAAGGCUGUGACGUCACCCGCUCACUUCCGGCCCCCGCUUUUGUUUCCAUGGAGCGGCUGAAAUCGGCGGUGCCGGCCGAUAUCCGGCGAGCCGUCGGCGAGGGCACGACCCGCGACCUCCCUACCACAACCUCUCUCCUUCUCGCCUUCCUCGACGACCUCCCUCUAUUCCACCAGGUCAUCGGCGAGCUGACCGACCCGGAGCUCGCGCUGUGCCGCAAGGACAAGGGGAGGGCGGCGGAGCUGAAGGGCCGGGGCAAUGCCUGCUUCACCGGGAGGGAGUUCGACCAAGCGCUUGGGUUCUAUUCACAGGCGCUGCGUUACGCCCCGAUUAGUUCUGAUGGCACUGAUGAUAUCUUGGUACCUGCAUUAUAUGUCAACCGUGCCUCCACUAUGCAUAAAUUGGGCCUCCUGGAAGAGUGUCUGCGGGAUUGCGACAGGGCCAUCUCUGUUUCACCUAAUUAUGCGAAGGCAUGGUACAGGAGGGGAAUGGUAAAUGCAUCGUUGAAGAAUUAUUCAUCUGCCGUGCAUGAUCUAGAGGUUGCAUUGAGCAUGGAAGUGACUUCUUCUGGGAAGAGCAACAUAGAACAAGAGUUGAAAUUGAUAUUGUUAAAGCCUCAAUGUGUGAACGAAGUUGGAAGAUCAAGCAGUGAUUGCAAGGAUGCAGGAUUGGCACAUACAGCAGAACCACAUAAGGUUGUCCUUGAGUGUAUUGCAACGCCCAACAAAGGUAGAGGAAUGACAUCUCCAAAUGAUAUUCCUCUGACCUCCUUGAUUCAUGUUGAGGAUCCUCUUGCUGCGAUUAUCCUGAAAUCUUGCCGGGAGACUCACUGCCAUUAUUGCUUUAGUGAAGCACCUGCAGAUGUUGUGUUCUGCCCCUUGUGUACAAUACCAGUUUAUUGUUCAAGAAAGUGCCAAGAGCAAGCUGUAGGCGGAAUCUCUUGGAAUCAAGAUACUUAUCUUGAAUCUAACAGUAAUGCAGUUGAUCUUGGAAUACUGAGCCUAACUUCUACAAGGUGCAUGGCUCCAAACUCCAAACAGAUUGCUGAACAUAGGCACGAAUGUGGAGGUGCCCAUUGGGCAGCUGUUUUGCCAGCUGAUAUAGUUUUAGCUGGGCGACUAAUGGCACAAUACAUAGACAGCAGAAUGCUGACUGGAAAGAGCUCUGCCAUCUCCGGUCCAAAUUUGGAUCUCAUUCAGCACUAUGACAUAGAUUCUCCUACUAGCAAGUUGGAAUCACAUAUAUGUGCGAUUGUCUUGUUAUUAUGCCUCCAAAAGCAUUAUAUAUCAGAUCUUUCGUGGAAAGAGGAAACUUUAUCCCAGCUGGUUCUUUUGAUAUGUCAAGUUAAAGUCAAUUCAAUUGCUAUUGUUUGUAUGAAAUCCAUGGAUGGAGGCCAGGGACUGACAGAGAGUAAAGGUUAUUCUGCAGCUGAUGAUGCAGUUAUGUGUAGUGUGGAGCAGGUCAAGGUUGCUCAAGCUAUCUACAUGUCUGGUAGCCUCUUUAAUCACUCGUGCCGGCCAAAUGUACAUGCAUAUUUUCAUUCACGCACUCUCUUCCUAAGAUCUACCACAUAUAUAAAUUCAGGGAGCCCAGUCGAGCUAUCAUAUGGUCCACAGGUUGGUGAGAUGAAUCUUGUGAAAAGACAAAAGUCACUUCAGGAGAAUUACAAAUUUACUUGCCAGUGUUCAAGUUGUUCAGAGCUACAUCUAUCGGACCUUGUCAUUGAUUCAUUUUGUUGUCCACAAAGUAGCUGUCUUGGUGCCGUAUCAGAAUCAACUUGCUACAAAUCCGAAAAGAAUUGUGUGCAUGUUUCCGUAGAUGAAUCUGAUAUCUGCAAACUAUCAUUGCCUCAUGUUUCCAAGGUUGAUGAAGAUAUAGAGAAGGUUGGGAAAUUGUUUUUCAGAAAUAAUGUUGAUUUGAAGAUAGAUCCUGGAUAUUGCAUGAGCUGUAGAUCACAAAUUAACUUGUCUUCUGCUGUCUCUACAUCAGAGAAGGCAGCAUCAAUGAUCAAUAGGUUUAAGGAACUUGCAGUUAUAGAUGAAAUCUCCGAAAUUCCCAUCACAGAUGCAUUACGAUCCCUACAACAGAUAAAGAAGUUGAGGCACCCAUAUAGCAAGGCUCUUGCCCAGGCAGAAGAUGUGAUUGCAGAAGCCUUUGCAAAGAUAGGAGAUCAAGAACAAGCAAGAAAGCACUGUGAAGCAUCAAUUAAGAUCCUUGAGAAGCUGUACCACCCCAAACACAUUGCCAUUGCGCAUGAGUUGAUCAAGCUUGUUUCCAUCGAGCUGUCUCUGGGGGACAGGGCAAGCGCAGCAGCUACAUUCACCCAGGCAGAGGCGAUAUUUUCACUUUAUUAUGGACCUGAUGUUCAGAGGAUUUUACCUUAUGUUGAUGCCCUGAAAAGAACUGUUAGUGGAGGGUUCAUUGGAGCUCCUUGA